UCGUAUAAAGCAGCAUAUGUUUGAUUAUGUUCGUGUAUAUCGCGUCAGAAAUCGUAAUGACUGCAGAGGAAAAUGAAACAUUCCAGCCGUGCAACGGUGCCUGUGGAAAAGAGGAUCAGAGGGAAUCGAACACGAUCAUUUAUAAUCUCCGUAAGGACGAUGCUCGAUACGAAUAUACCAGGCACACAGUUCCGGUGGCGUACUUUUCCCGUAAAAGGGAAAACGCCCCAAAUAUGAGUUUUCUUCGGCUACAGUCUACCUUCAGUGUUGCGACCAAUGCUUAGUUUGAUUGCCUGGAUAUUCAAUUUUGAGUUCAUUGUUUACAGGUUGAAUGAAUUCUAUAACUUUUAGGACACAUUGGUCCGCUCUAUAUAUUUUGUCAGUUGUUUGAUUAAAAUUUUCUAAAUUAUCUUAAAAUCUAAAUUGUUCUUAAUUGCACGAUUGAUUUAAAAGAGUUGCCUUUCGCUGUUAAUAUAAAAAUAUUGUUAAUAUGAUAUAAACACUUCUUGUUUAAGUAGUAUUCGAUAUGUAACAAGCAUAGAUUAUAGUAGUUAGUUGUAUAGUCAAGCAUUCUAUGUAUACAGGUAGAUAGAUCGACAUUAAUGAAAAUCGAAUGGGACGCAGAACAAUUUAACUACGUGAAAUGCAGAAACUUUUAAUCAAAAUUGUUUUAAACCUAUUUCAACCGGUAUUAUGUUCGACACCUCAAUAAAUGAUAGUCAUUUAAUUUCUCCAUAAUUACUGCGAUACAUACUUGCCUUUUAUCUAACUGAUGUUUAUUUAAACCUUAUUUAAGUUUCAUAUAAAAAUUUGUAUAUGAAAAAUGUAUAUGAAUUUUUGUAACUGGUUACGUAAUAAUAU
This is a long non-coding RNA of Bombus terrestris (buff-tailed bumblebee), 861 nucleotides long. RefSeq lists it as uncharacterized. NCBI's taxonomy places the organism in Eukaryota, Metazoa, Arthropoda, Insecta, Hymenoptera, Apidae. The record is from RefSeq and is a predicted model, not a curated record. The transcript is spliced from 3 exons.